Long non-coding RNA from Eriocheir sinensis (Chinese mitten crab), 1762 nucleotides. RefSeq lists it as uncharacterized. NCBI's taxonomy places the organism in Eukaryota, Metazoa, Arthropoda, Malacostraca, Decapoda, Varunidae. The record is from RefSeq and is a predicted model, not a curated record. The transcript has 7 exons.
GGCGCCUUCACGGCAUUUAUGAUUAAUUUUAUAAUCCAGUCUGGUAGUUUUAAGAAGCGAGUUCUUGCAUCCGCCCUAUUCGAAUCGGCGGGGCGGUGGAGCGCCAGCGAGCCCAAGGUCUCCCAGGCGAGCAUGGCAGGACUGGAGGGCUCCCGGCAGGGCGCCUCGGCGUCCAUCGGGACCCCGACGGAGGUGCCGGAGAUCUUUCGGCUACAACGCCGGGCAGGUGGGGCUCGUUAGCCGUGGUAGGCAAUCUGCCUAGGAGAGCAAACUCCGAACAACAAACCCGGGCAGGUGGGGCUCGUUAGCCGUGGUAGGCAAUCUGCCUAGGAGAGCAAACUCCGAACAACAAACCCGGGCAGGUGGGGUUCGUUAGCCGUGGUAGGCAAUUCACCUAGGAGAGCAAACUCCGAACAAUAAACCCGGGCAGGUGGAGGUCGUUAGCGAAAGCAGUUCAUCUAGGAGAGCAAACUCCGAUUACAAAACCGGGCAGGUGGAGGUCGUUAGCGUGAGCAGUUCACCUAGGAGAGCAAACUCCGAUUACAAACCCGGGCAGGUGAGGUUCGUUAGCUGUGGUAGGCAAUUCACCUAGGAGAGCAAACUCCGAACAAUAAACCCGGGCAGGUUGGGCUCGUGAGCCGUCAUAGGCAAUACACCUAGGAGAGCAAACUCCGAUCAUAAAACCCGGGCAGGUUGGGCUCGUGAGCCGUCAUAGGCAAUACACCUAGGAGAGCAAACUCCGAUCAUGAAACCCGGGCAGGUUGGGCUCGUGAGCCGUCAUAGGUAAUACACCUAGGAGAGCAAACUCCGAACAUAAAACCCGGGCAGGUGGAGCUCGUCAGCCGUGGUAGGCAGUCUGCCUAGGAGAGCAAACUCCGAACAAUAAACCCGGGCAGGUGGAGCUCGUCAGCCGUGGUAGGCAGUCUGCCUAGGAGAGCAAACUCCGAACAAUAAACCGGGGCUUGUGGUGCUCGUUAGAUGUCGUAGACAAUCCACGUGAUGGGAACACCAAAGAAAAGGAAAAUAAAAAGGAACACCAGAAAAAGGAAAAUAUAGUAACAAAACAUCAAGAAAAAAAAAAAACACAGAUCAUCCACCUUCAGGCCCUAACAUCUCCAAAAUUAUGGGUGAGUCUUUUCUGGGGAGAAAGAGGCUCAUCCAGACCAAAGAACAUCAAAAAGGGAUGAUAUAGAAAGGAACACCAAAAAAAUGGGAAAAAGAGAAAAAAACAUCGCAAAAGAAAAGUAACAACAAUAACAGAACAACGUCAAGAAAAGUAACAUACAAAGAAACAUCAUCCACCAUUCGGCCCCAAACUAACAUCACCAAAAUUAUGGGUGGGUCUCUUCUGGGAGGAAAGCGGCUCACCCAGACCAACGAAGAACAUCAACAAGAGGAUGAUAUGAAAUAAAAGAACAUUAAAAAACACGAAGAAAAGAAAUAAGAAGAAAAAGAACAGAAAAAAACCAUCGGAAAAGAAAAACAAGAAGAAAAACACAUCAAAAGAAAAAUAUAAGAAACAUCAUCCACCUUUCGACCCCUAACUAACAUCACCAAAAUUAUGGGUGGGUCUCUUCUGGGAGGAAAGCGGCUCACCCAGACCAAUGAACAUCGGCAAGAGGAUGAUAUGAAAUAAAAGAACAUCAAAAAAGAAAAACAACAGCAAGAAAACAAAGAAAAAGAUAAAGAAAAGAAAAGGAAAAAGAAACAAAUAGAAAAAAAAUAACACCAAAAUAAAAUAAAACAAAAACAAAAAAAUAAU